UAAAGAAGCAAAAGCUACCGUUUAAAAGCCA
Molecule: non-coding RNA, 31 nt
Filed under: Mus musculus (house mouse)
Lineage: Eukaryota; Metazoa; Chordata; Mammalia; Rodentia; Muridae
Source: RNAcentral